This 515-nucleotide ribosomal RNA is filed under the name Phylo norvegica. Its description in RNAcentral is "partial 16S ribosomal RNA". It matches the Rfam family "Bacterial large subunit ribosomal RNA", at positions 1832 to 2604 of the family's 2925-position model. Lineage: Eukaryota; Metazoa; Annelida; Polychaeta; Orbiniidae. The record is from RNAcentral.
GCNUCUNGAAAAUAUUUNGAGGUACAUCCUGCCCGGUGACAUACGUGUUAAACGGCCGCGGUAACCUGACCGUGCUAAGGUAGCAUAAUAAUUUGCCUCUUAAUUGGUGGCUAGAAUGAAUGGACACACGAGAGCCAAGCUGUCUCUUUUUCACAAAUAAAAACUAACCUUCAGGCGAAAAGGCCUGGAUAAUUUUAAAGGACAAGAAGACCCUGUCAAGCUUUAUUAGUCCUAUCUACACUUAAUAUUUUAAUAAAUUUAUUAGAUAUAUCUAAUUUAGUUGGGGCGACUGGGGACCAAAAAUAGCGUCCCCCCACAAUCUCUAAGGGUAAUAACCCUAUAUAAAUGAUCCUUAAAAAGACCAAGAGACAAGCUACUGCAGGGAUAACAGGCUAAUUUUCCCUAAGAGUCCAAAUCGAAGGGAAAGUUUGGCACCUCGAUGUUGGCUUAAGACAUCCAUAAAGUGCAGCAGCUUUAAAUGGUAGGUUUGUUCAACCUUUAAAGUCUUACGUGAU